This 253-nucleotide ribosomal RNA is filed under the name uncultured bacterium. Its description in RNAcentral is "partial 16S ribosomal RNA". It matches the Rfam family "Bacterial small subunit ribosomal RNA", at positions 524 to 776 of the family's 1533-position model. The record is from RNAcentral.
UACGUAGGGGGCAAGCGUUGUCCGGAAUCAUUGGGCGUAAAGCGCGCGUAGGCGGCCCUUUAAGUCCGUUGUGAAAGUCAAAGGCUCAACCUUUGAAAGCCGAUGGAUACUGCAGGGCUAGAGUCCGGAAGAGGCGAGUGGAAUUCCUGGUGUAGCGGUGGAAUGCGCAGAUAUCAGGAGGAACACCAAUAGCGAAGGCAGCUCGCUGGGACGGUACUGACGCUAAGGCGCGAAAGCGUGGGGAGCGAACAGG